UCAAAGAGGUUGAGAAAAUAUUUUUGUAUUUUUUGAAUAUCAAAAACUAUUUAAAAUGAAUUAAAAAUAACAAGAAAAGAGAAAAUUAUUAAAAAAUAGCAAAUGAUAAAAUAAAAAAUAUUAAAAAUCAUUUUUAGAAACUAGAAAUUAAAAGAGAAAUAAUGCAAUUGGUCCCAUAUUUUUUGGAAUUAAAAUGAGAGAGUUAUGAAUUUUUGAAAUAAA
Molecule: long non-coding RNA, 222 nt
Filed under: Lathyrus oleraceus (garden pea)
Lineage: Eukaryota; Viridiplantae; Streptophyta; Magnoliopsida; Fabales; Fabaceae
Description: Pisum sativum (pea) long non-coding RNA (PSAT_LNC036873)
Source: RNAcentral